GCACUGCUGAGGAGUCCCAUACUAGGACGAAACGGACAACUGUCCAGUGC
RNAcentral lists this non-coding RNA (50 nucleotides) under Schistosoma haematobium. RNAcentral also lists the same sequence under 1 other name. Lineage: Eukaryota; Metazoa; Platyhelminthes; Trematoda; Strigeidida; Schistosomatidae. The record is from RNAcentral.